GCUUAGGGAUGGGUGCCGGGGGGCGCGCUUUCCCGCGUGAAGAUCGCUCCAGGAGUCAUGCGUACAUUCGUUCAUUUUGCUCUGGACGCACUGAUGUUCCCGGCUCGCCGCCGCGCCGCAGUCACGAGGCUCUCCGAACGCCUUUCACUGUGUUUCUGUUUACAUUCGCGUCUGCAAGACCUGGCGGCGCGACCGAGGCCCGAACAGAUGGAAAUGGGCUGCCAUGUUGUGAGCUGCCCCAUGGGGAAGAGGCUCACAUGUGAGGAACUGAGGGAGGCCUCCAGAAAACAGCCAGUGAAGAACUGAGACCCUCAGUCCAAUAGCCUAUGAGGAACUGAAUCCUGCUGACAACCAUAUGAAUGAGCUUGGAAGCAGGUCCUUCCCCAGUGAAGCCUUCAUGUGAGACUGCAGCCCACUUGACACUUUGAUUUGUAGCUUGUGACAGACCCCAAGCCAGAAGAGUCAGGUAAGCAGUGCCUGCACUCCUGACCCAUGGCAAC
This 500-nucleotide long non-coding RNA is filed under the name Pan troglodytes (chimpanzee). Its description in RNAcentral is "long non-coding RNA NONPTRT010504". The record is from RNAcentral. Lineage: Eukaryota; Metazoa; Chordata; Mammalia; Primates; Hominidae.